ACAGGACCCUUUUGUUAGGGAAGGAGGAAGAGCAUGUGUGUGAGUGGCUUCACCCUUGGACAGCAGCUGGAUCUCAUUUCUUUGUUUGGCCUCUAGCCGCCCUCUUGCGUGUUGCUAGCUCUACAGAGCCAUGAUCAUCAGGACAGGAAAAGCAAGGGAGGGGGUCAUCGGAGUGUGGAACCUUCUGUAUAUAAGAGGGAAAGCUGAGCAGGUUAUGAUUGAAGGGAGGGAAGAAUUUUUUUUUUUUUGUCCAGUGUAUCCCAAAAGCAAACCACAGGAUUUUAGGUAAUUGCAAAAUAUAUAUGUAGAGAAUGGGCUUUGCUGAGGGAUACAGGAAGACCAAUUUGGCUAAAUAAAGGUACUUAAAAGGGCAAUAUAUAAAACAGGAUCACAUGGGAUUUUUUAAAAAAAUCUUUCUUUCUGUGUCUCUCUGUCUUCUAUGCAACCACAUGGUUUGUUCCUUAAGAUUUGUGCCUUCCCCAAUUAAAUUGAGAUAUUUAUUGUGGGAAUGAUCAGUGUGUGUGUAAACCUCAGAAUUUUGUUUUCCUCUCUGUGUCCUUGUUUGUGUGUGUGUGCGUGUCUAAGUCUUUGUGUGUCCUCGAGGUAACUGUUGCAACUGUUAAGUGUCUCUGAUCCCUUCAGAUAUGAAUUUUAAAUUGUUAAGAAUUAAAAACACUAAGAGAAAAUGUCUUCUCCCAGUCUGGUCUGGCCAACUAGACUGGAUGAGGAACAGAGUUCAAUUUUCUCUCCUCUCUGUGCUUUUAAGAAAAACCCAAGGUUAUUAACGAAUGUUUUAAGUUCAUUUACAAGAAAAGUUUCAUCCUUGCAUUUACUGUGUGUUUAAAUGAUUUUACCUGUUCAUCCUUUUCCUGAAGCAUGUGAAUCCAGUUUUUUUCCUUUCUCAUCUGUUGUGUCUCCAUUUUGUUGAAAUUGAUUUACCUGUUUAGUAACUGCAAUACUGAUGUGAAAGGAAAAAACUGGAAUCAAA
Molecule: non-coding RNA, 988 nt
Organism: Notechis scutatus (mainland tiger snake)
Lineage: Eukaryota; Metazoa; Chordata; Lepidosauria; Squamata; Elapidae
Source: RefSeq, a predicted model, not a curated record